RNAcentral lists this transfer RNA (66 nucleotides) under marine eukaryotic metagenome. It matches the Rfam family "tRNA", at positions 5 to 66 of the family's 71-position model. From Rfam's summary of the family: Transfer RNA (tRNA) molecules are approximately 80 nucleotides in length. Their secondary structure includes four short double-helical elements and three loops (D, anti-codon, and T loops). The record is from RNAcentral.
CCAUAGCUCAAUUGGUAGAGCAUCCGGCUUUUAACCGGGUGGCUGAAGGUUCAAUUCCUUCUGGAC